CACCCCUCAAGCCUGGCUUGGUGUUGGGCGACGUCCUCUUUGGGGACGCGCCUCGAAACGUUCGGCGGCGUGGCACCGGCUUUAAGCGUAGCAGAAUCUUUCGCUUCGAAAGUCGGGGCCCCGUCUGCCGGAAGACCUACUCGCAA
This 146-nucleotide unclassified non-coding RNA is filed under the name uncultured Cenococcum. RNAcentral's name for it is "sequence contains ITS2". The record is from RNAcentral. Lineage: Eukaryota; Fungi; Ascomycota; Dothideomycetes; Gloniales; Gloniaceae.